Molecule: ribosomal RNA, 429 nt
Filed under: Actinomycetes bacterium
Lineage: Bacteria; Bacillati; Actinomycetota; Actinomycetes
Description: Actinobacteria bacterium partial 16S ribosomal RNA
Rfam family: Bacterial small subunit ribosomal RNA
Source: RNAcentral
UAGGGAAUCUUCCGCAAUGGGCGAAAGCCUGACGGAGCAACGCCGCGCGAGUGAUGAAGGUCUUCGGAUCGUAAAACUCUGUUAUUAGGGAAGAACAAAUGUGUAAGUAACUAUGCACGUCUUGACGGUACCUAAUCAGAAAGCCACGGCUAACUACGUGCCAGCAGCCGCGGUAAUACGUAGGUGGCAAGCGUUAUCCGGAAUUAUUGGGCGUAAAGCGCGCGUAGGCGGUUUUUUAAGUCUGAUGUGAAAGCCCACGGGUCAACCGUGGAGGGUCGUUUGGAACUGGAAAACUUGAGUGCAGAAGAGGAAAGUGGGAUUCCAUGUGUAGCGGUGAAAUGCGCAAAGGUAUGGAGGAACACCAGUGGCAAUGGCGACUGUCUGGUCUAUAACUGACGCUGAUGUGCGAAAGCGUGGGGAUCAAACAGG